This 339-nucleotide unclassified non-coding RNA is filed under the name soil metagenome. Its description in RNAcentral is "partial contains 5.8S ribosomal RNA, internal transcribed spacer 2, and large subunit ribosomal RNA". The stretch from base 1 to 121 matches the Rfam family "5.8S ribosomal RNA", at positions 35 to 154 of the family's 154-position model. The record is from RNAcentral.
GAUGAAGAACGCAGCGAAAUGCGAUAAGUAAUGCGAAUUGCAGAAUUUCCGUGAAUCAUCGAAUCUUUGAACGCACAUUGCGCCCGGUAGUAUUCUGCCGGGCAUGCCUGUUCGAGCGUCAUUUCAACCAUCAAGCCCCAGCGCUUGUGUUGGGGGCCUGCGGCUGCCGCAGCCCCCUAAAAGCAGUGGCGGGCUCGCUAUCACACCGAGUGCAGUAGUUCAUCUUCUCUCCGGUCUUGUGAGGCGGGUUCCGGCCGUGAAACACCCCACUACAUUCAAGGUUGACCUCGGAUCAGGUAGGAAUACCCGCUGAACUUAAGCAUAUCAAUAAGCGGAGGA